UACGAAGGGGGCUAGCGUUGUUCGGAAUUACUGGGCGUAAAGCGCACGUAGGCGGGUCGUUAAGUCAGGGGUGAAAUCCCGGAGCUCAACUCCGGAACUGCCUUUGAUACUGGCGAUCUCGAGACCGGGAGAGGUGAGUGGAAUUCCCAGUGUAGCGGUGAAAUGCGUAGAUAUUGGGAGGAACACCAGUGGCGAAGGCGGCUCACUGGACCGGAACUGACGCUGAGGCGCGAAAGCGUGGGGAGCAAACAGG
Molecule: ribosomal RNA, 253 nt
Filed under: uncultured bacterium
Lineage: Bacteria
Description: partial 16S ribosomal RNA
Rfam family: Bacterial small subunit ribosomal RNA
Source: RNAcentral